Molecule: ribosomal RNA, 253 nt
Filed under: uncultured bacterium
Lineage: Bacteria
Description: partial 16S ribosomal RNA
Rfam family: Bacterial small subunit ribosomal RNA
Source: RNAcentral
UACGUAGGUGGCAAGCGUUGUCCGGAUUUACUGGGCGUAAAGAGCGCGCAGGCGGUCGUUCAAGUCGCGUGUGAAAGCCCCCGGCUCAACUGGGGAGGGUCACGCGAUACUGAUCGACUCGAAGGCAGGAGAGGGUAGUGGAAUUCCCGGUGUAGUGGUGAAAUGCGUAGAUAUCAGGAAGAACACCCGUGGCGAAGGCGGCUCUCUGGUACGUGACUGACGCUGAGACGCGAAAGCGUGGGGAGCAAACAGG